AACGUAGGGGGCGAGCGUUGUCCGGAAUUACUGGGCGUAAAGGGCGCGCAGGCGGCCUUUUAAGUCAGAGGUGAAAACUGCCGGCUUAACCGGCAGCUUGCCUUUGAAACUGGAGGGCUUGAGGGCAGGAGAGGGGAGUGGAAUUCCCGGUGUAGCGGUGAAAUGCGUAGAGAUCGGGAGGAACACCAGUGGCGAAGGCGGCUCUCUGGCCUAACCCUGACGAUGAGGCGCGAAAGAGUGGGGAGCAAACGGG
Molecule: ribosomal RNA, 253 nt
Filed under: uncultured bacterium
Lineage: Bacteria
Description: partial 16S ribosomal RNA
Rfam family: Bacterial small subunit ribosomal RNA
Source: RNAcentral